GUGGGGAAUAUUGCGCAAUGGGCGAAAGCCUGACGCAGCGACGCCGCGUGUGGGAUGAAGGUCUUCGGAUUGUAAACCACUGUCGCGAGGGACGAAGCUCUGACGGUACCUCGAAAGGAAGCACCGGCUAACUCUGUGCCAGCAGCCGCGGUAAUACAGAGGGUGCGAGCGUUGUCCGGAAUCACUGGGCGUAAAGGGCGCGUAGGCGGCUUGGUAAGUAGGAGGUGAAAUCUCAUGGCUUAACUGUGAGGCUGCCUUCUAGACUGCCGAGCUUGAGCACAGUAGAGGCUAGUGGAAUUCCCGGUGUAGCGGUGGAAUGCGUAGAGAUCGGGAAGAACAUCGGUGGCGAAGGCGGCUAGCUGGGCUGUUGCUGACGCUGAUGCGCGACAGCGUGGGGAGCAAACAGGAUUAGAUACCCGAGUAGUCC
RNAcentral lists this ribosomal RNA (427 nucleotides) under uncultured bacterium. RNAcentral describes it as "bacterial SSU rRNA". It matches the Rfam family "Bacterial small subunit ribosomal RNA", at positions 354 to 796 of the family's 1533-position model. The record is from RNAcentral.